This 494-nucleotide ribosomal RNA is filed under the name uncultured bacterium. RNAcentral describes it as "partial 16S ribosomal RNA". It matches the Rfam family "Bacterial small subunit ribosomal RNA", at positions 28 to 507 of the family's 1533-position model. The record is from RNAcentral.
GACGAACGCUGGCGGCGUGCUUAACGCAUGCAAGUCGAACGGAAAGGCCUGCUUUCCCUUGUGGAUUGCGGGUACUCGAGUGGCGAACGGGUGAGUAACACGUGAGUGAUCUGCCCCCAACUUGGGUAUAAGCCUGGGAAACUGGGUCUAAUUCCCGAUAGGACUGCAGGGUGGUGCCUGUGGUGGAAAACGAUUUUCUAGUGGUUGGGGAUGAGCUCGCGGCCUAUCAGCUUGUUGGUGGGGUAAUGGCCUACCAAGGCGGCGACGGGUAGCCGGCCUGAGAGGGUGGACGGCCACAUUGGGACUGAGAUACGGCCCAGACUCCUACGGGAGGCAGCAGUGGGGAAUAUUGCACAAUGGGCGGAAGCCUGAUGCAGCGACGCCGCGUGGGGGAUGACGGCCUUCGGGUUGUAAACUCCUUUCGACCGCGAGGAAGCCACCUGGUUGGAAGGGUGGUGACGGUAGUGGUAGAAGAAGCACCGGCUAACUACGUG